RNAcentral lists this ribosomal RNA (467 nucleotides) under uncultured bacterium. RNAcentral describes it as "partial 16S ribosomal RNA". It matches the Rfam family "Bacterial small subunit ribosomal RNA", at positions 28 to 507 of the family's 1533-position model. The record is from RNAcentral.
GACGAACGCUGGCGGCGUGCUUAACACAUGCAAGUCGAACGGAAAGGCCUCUUUCGGGGGGUACUCGAGUGGCGAACGGGUGAGUAACACGUGAGUAACCUGCCCUUGUCUUUGGGAUAACUUCAGUAAACAGGGGCUAAUACCGGCUAGGAGCUCCUGCUGCAUGGUGGGGGUUGGAAAGUUUCGGCGGUUGGGGGUGGACUCGCGGGUUAUCAGCUUGUUGGUGGGGUAUUGGCUUACCAAGGCUUUGGCGGGUAGCCGGCCUGAGAGGGUGACCGGCCACAUUGGGACUGAGAUACGGCCCAGACUCCUACGGGAGGCAGCAGUGGGGAAUAUUGCACAAUGGGUGGAAGCCUGAUGCAGCAGCGCCGUGUGCGGGAUGACGGCCUUCGGGUUGUAAACCGCUUUCGCUCAUGACGAAGCUUUGUGUGACGGUAGUGGGUAAAGAAGCACCGGCUAACUACGUG